Molecule: transfer RNA, 761 nt
Filed under: Bradyrhizobium sp. USDA 3456
Lineage: Bacteria; Pseudomonadati; Pseudomonadota; Alphaproteobacteria; Hyphomicrobiales; Nitrobacteraceae
Also listed under: 1 other name
Description: 16S-23S ribosomal RNA intergenic spacer
Rfam family: tRNA (bases 192-265)
Source: RNAcentral
UCUAAGGAUGAUCCUUCAGCGAGCUCACGCUCACUAUCGGAUCGUUUUAGAAACAUCAGUGGCCAACAGAUCGCCAGAUCGUUGAGCUGCAUUGGCGGGAUUUCGCCGUCUUCGUUUCUCUUUCUUCGCGGACGAACACGCGCUGGGCCUGCAACGGCAGGAUCCAGGGUCCUUAACGGGAUGUGCGUUAGGGGCUUGUAGCUCAGUUGGUUAGAGCGCGCGCUUGAUAAGCGUGAGGUCGGAAGUUCAAGUCUUCCCAGGCCCACCACUUUCAUCGAGUGUGCAUUCGUCUUCUGGUUACGGGGCCAUAGCUCAGCUGGGAGAGCGCGUGCUUUGCAAGCAUGAGGUCGUCGGUUCGAUCCCGUCUGGCUCCACCAGAUGGUUUGAUCACCGAGAUCUUGUACCGUCGUCCGCGAAACAUCACUUCGCAUCCUGCUAGUCUGGAUAGACAGCAAGAUGCGUGUUUUCUGACAUCGUAAAGAGGAGAUCGAUCCGAGUUGGGUCGUGUAGCAGAUUGCUGCGCGAGCCUUCAUUAUCUCCGGAUCAUUUUCGGCGCUCGCGUCCGACCGCAAGGUUGGCUGCGAGUUGUAAAAUGAUCCUUUUAGCGAAGCUUGACCGCCUCGCUAUCGGAACGAUCUUACGAAGCAAGCUGGUCUUUCUAGUCAAUGUCCGGCUGUACGUAGCGUUCAUCGAGGGCGCGCGCCGCAAGGCAAUCGUACAGACAACAUUCUGCCGAGUGUGUGGACAUUGAUAAUGAGAGC